RNAcentral lists this ribosomal RNA (555 nucleotides) under Cryptosporidium ryanae. Its description in RNAcentral is "SSU rRNA". It matches the Rfam family "Eukaryotic small subunit ribosomal RNA", at positions 321 to 914 of the family's 1831-position model. Lineage: Eukaryota; Apicomplexa; Conoidasida; Eucoccidiorida; Cryptosporidiidae. The record is from RNAcentral.
UUAGACGGUAGGGUAUUGGCCUACCGUGGCUAUGACGGGUAACGGGGAAUUAGGGUUCGAUUCCGGAGAGGGAGCCUGAGAAACGGCUACCACAUCUAAGGAAGGCAGCAGGCGCGCAAAUUACCCAAUCCUAAUACAGGGAGGUAGUGACAAGAAAUAACAAUACAGAGCCUUACGGUUUUGUAAUUGGAAUGAGUUAAGUAUAAACCCCUUAACAAGUAUCAAUUGGAGGGCAAGUCUGGUGCCAGCAGCCGCGGUAAUUCCAGCUCCAAUAGCGUAUAUUAAAGUUGUUGCAGUUAAAAAGCUCGUAGUUAAUUUUCUGUUAAUUUUUAUAUACAAUGCUACGGUAUUUAUAUAAUAUUAACAUAAUUCAUAUUACUUUUUAGUAUAUGAAACUUUACUUUGAGAAAAUUAGAGUGCUUAAAGCAGGCUAUUGCCUUGAAUACUCCAGCAUGGAAUAAUAUUAAGGAUUUUUAUUCUUCUUAUUGGUUCUAGAAUAAAAAUAAUGAUUAAUAGGGACAGUUGGGGGCAUUUGUAUUUAACAGUCAGAGGUGA